Molecule: non-coding RNA, 154 nt
Filed under: Bacteroides graminisolvens
Lineage: Bacteria; Pseudomonadati; Bacteroidota; Bacteroidia; Bacteroidales; Bacteroidaceae
Source: RNAcentral
CAGAGAUGCGAUUAAAAGGGAAUCAGGUGAAAGUCCUGAACAGUCCCGCUGCUGUAAGUUUCACAAAACAGCUGUUAGCAAUACCUUUAGCCACUGGGAAAUCCGGGAAGGCGCAAACAGUUGAAACAAGUCAGAAGACCUGCCGUGCGUAAUU